CACAGGUGAAAUCCCAGAAUCAUCUACAGUUUCCCAGCAUCCUGGAGAGACACCUGAAGAAUCAGUGGACGAGAUCAUCCAGGGGGAUGACAGGGGUGGCAUGUCAGAGGAAUGCAUGGCAGUUACAGAGAAUUCCAAUGUGAGAUCUUCAAGCUCAACCCAGCAGGACAACGAGAAUAGCACCGAAGAAUCAGUGGACGAGAUCAACCAGGGGGAUGAAACGGGUGGCAUGUCCAAAGAAUGCGCAGUUACAGAGGUGUGAACAGUUUUGCUUUCCUGUUGAUCCAUAUAUGUGAUAUGUGCAACGUGAUGUAAGCAACAACAUUGACAAGAGGAGGUUGAAAUACAGUAUAUUCUGUACAUUCAAUAAAGUAAUUUUGUGAAAUUGGGACAUUUUAGCAUUCCAAUGUGAGAUCUUCAAGCUCAAACCAACAGGACAACGAGAAUAGCGCUGGACCAGUGGACCAGAGCAACAAGGGGCAUGAAACAGGUGCCAAUUCUAACGAUAGCGCAGCAGCUCCAGAG
Long non-coding RNA from Engraulis encrasicolus (European anchovy), 525 nucleotides. RefSeq lists it as uncharacterized. The transcript has 5 exons. NCBI's taxonomy places the organism in Eukaryota, Metazoa, Chordata, Actinopteri, Clupeiformes, Engraulidae. The record is from RefSeq and is a predicted model, not a curated record.